UGUUUCCGAGUAAUAUUGUAAAACAUUAAGCAUAUUUUGAAUAACAAAAAUUAAAUAUCACAAGGGGUAUCAGGAUUUUAGAAAUGAUUCAGUGGGGCAUGGCCAAAAAUCGUUUGGCAACCACUGGUCUAAGCAUUUAAGAAUUACCUUUCAAUUUGUUGGUUCUGACCAAUAUAUUUUUUUAUUCUUUGAUUAGUAUUCAAUAAUAUCAAUGUAUAUAACAUUUUCUAUCUCAUCAGUUUCCUUUUUAUCACAAUGGUCACUUAAUUGGGGACCAUAGAUAAUUAAUUAAGGAUGGUUUUAGUUCCAUUCAAAAUGACCCUCAGCUGCUGCCUUUCAUCAACAUUACUUGGCACCAACCAUUGCAAAUUUCAAUAAACCCAGAACUAUAUGAGAAGAGCCAACCAAGGUCUCUAGUUUGAUAUUUAAG
Octopus sinensis (East Asian common octopus) is the source of this 430-nucleotide long non-coding RNA. RefSeq lists it as uncharacterized. The record is from RefSeq and is a predicted model, not a curated record. The transcript has 2 exons. NCBI's taxonomy places the organism in Eukaryota, Metazoa, Mollusca, Cephalopoda, Octopoda, Octopodidae.